RNAcentral lists this transfer RNA (86 nucleotides) under Limosilactobacillus fermentum. RNAcentral describes it as "Lactobacillus fermentum tRNA-OTHER". It matches the Rfam family "tRNA". Rfam says of the family: Transfer RNA (tRNA) molecules are approximately 80 nucleotides in length. Lineage: Bacteria; Bacillati; Bacillota; Bacilli; Lactobacillales; Lactobacillaceae. The record is from RNAcentral.
GGAGGAGUAGCGAAGUCUGGUUAAACGCGACGGUCUGUAAAACCGUUCCUUUUGGUUCGGUGGUUCGAAUCCACUCUCCUCCAUUU